This 253-nucleotide ribosomal RNA is filed under the name uncultured bacterium. RNAcentral's name for it is "partial 16S ribosomal RNA". It matches the Rfam family "Bacterial small subunit ribosomal RNA", at positions 524 to 776 of the family's 1533-position model. The record is from RNAcentral.
UACGUAGGGUGCGAGCGUUGUCCGGAAUUAUUGGGCGUAAAGGGCUCGUAGGCGGUUUGUCGCGUCGGGAGUGAAAACCUGGGGCUCAACCCCAGGCUUGCGGUCGAUACGGGCAGGCUCGAGUUCGGUAGGGGAGACUGGAAUUCCUGGUGUAGCGGUGAAAUGCGCAGAUAUCAGGAGGAACACCAAUUGCGAAGGCAGCUCGCUGGGACGUUACUGACGCUGAGACGCGAAAGCGUGGGGAGCAAACAGG